UUAGCUCAUAUUUGUAUGGAGUGGGAUCGUUUGCCGACGUUUGCCGCUAGGGGCGCUGUUCGAACUGCAUACAAAAUUGGGUUA
Molecule: microRNA precursor, 84 nt
Filed under: Bombyx mori (domestic silkworm)
Lineage: Eukaryota; Metazoa; Arthropoda; Insecta; Lepidoptera; Bombycidae
Description: mir-2807 microRNA precursor family
Rfam family: mir-2807 microRNA precursor family
Source: Rfam by way of RNAcentral